CACGCAGCUGCACGCUGUCGUCGACGAUUACCGUUUGAUCCUGGCUCAGACGAACCCUGGGGGAGCUUAUCACAUGCAAGCGAACGGGAUGAUUUAGAAGUAGUAUUAGAGAAUCUAGUGGCAAACGGGUGAGUAACACGUACACCACCUGCCGACAGGAUGGGGACAACAUUCCGAAAGCUAUGCUAAUACCGACUGCCGCGGAGGAGAGGCAUCUCUCUUCCGUGAAAGAUGGCCUCUGAACAUGCUAUCACCUGUCGGUGGGUCUGCGUCUGAUUAGCUGCUUGGUGAGGUAACGGCUCACCAAGGCGACGAUCAGUAGCUGGUCUGAGAGGAUGAACGGCCACCUUGGGACUGAGACACGGCCCAGACUCCUACGGGAGGCAGCAGUGGGGAAUCUUCCGCAAUGGGCGCAAGCCUGACGGAGCAACGCCGCGUGAGUGAAGAAGGUCUUCGGAUCGUAAAGCUCUGUUGAUGGGGACGAACGUGCUACGGGUGCAUAAUCCUUUGCCAUGACGGUACCUAUCGAGGAACCCCCGGCUAACUACGUGCCAGCAGCCGCGGUAAUACGUAGGUGGCGAGCGUUGUCCGGAAUCAUUGGGCGUACAGGGAGCGCAGGCGGGCACGUACCUCUUUUCUUAAAAGUGCGGGGCUUCUCCCCGUGAUGGGAAAGAACCUAUAUGUCUUUGAGUACAGGAGAGGA
RNAcentral lists this ribosomal RNA (703 nucleotides) under uncultured bacterium. RNAcentral describes it as "bacterial SSU rRNA". It matches the Rfam family "Bacterial small subunit ribosomal RNA", at positions 1 to 658 of the family's 1533-position model. The record is from RNAcentral.